Molecule: long non-coding RNA, 3121 nt
Organism: Musa acuminata AAA Group (dessert banana)
Lineage: Eukaryota; Viridiplantae; Streptophyta; Magnoliopsida; Zingiberales; Musaceae
Exons: 4
Source: RefSeq, a predicted model, not a curated record
GAGAAGGAAGAGUGUAAGGGGGUGCUGAGUCUGCUGACUGAGAAAAGAGGAAGCGGCAGCGGCGAGCAGCGGCAACGGGAGCAGGAGCAGGAGCGGCGAGCGACGACAGCGGCAGCGGUUGCGAGUAGCGACAGCGGCGAGUAACGGGCGCGGGAGCGGCAGCAGCAACGAGCAGGGUUAGCCUGUUAGGGUUGGGCAGCGAUAGCUGAUAUCGAUUUUAGUUGGUUCGAUUGAACCAACUAACCACCGGAGACCGAACCAGAUCUAAAAUCCUAGUUCAGUCGCCUGGUUUAACACAAGCGCUCGCCCGAAGCGCCCAGCACCUGGGCUCGGGCGAGUGCCUCUUUGAAGUGCGCUGCCUGGAAGUUUAGCGAGGCGCUCGGGCCUCGCCUCGCCUCGCCUCGCCCGAGCGCCUAGGCGAGCGCCCGAGCGCCUUUUUAAAUCACUGUCUAACACAUCAAAUUAUUGGAUGGUAAGGAAAGUUUUCCCUUUGAAAGGAGGAGAGCGAAGAUCCCAAUUACAUGUAAUGAUUAGCAGCUACCUUGCUACAAUGAGGAACCAUACUUUUCUCAUCUUUUUUUUAUUUUUUAUUUAAGAGUCAUUUGCAUUGUUAUCUCCUUGAUAUUAGAGAUUUGGCCCUUUUUUCUUCUUUCUCUUCACCCUUUUCUUCUUUUUUGCUUGUCUUUUGGGGGGUUACUCUAUCGCUGCAAUUGAACUGAACCAGUAAUUGAACAUUUUGCCUUAGUUAUUUUCUUUUAAUUUAAUUUUUAUUUUGAUCGUCUCUUUAUUUUUCAAUGUAUGAUUUCCACUUUCUAAUGCCUUCUUCCAAAUAGGUUGUGCUACAAAUAAGGUCUCCAGAAGGAGAAGACUUGUCCAUGCUUAAAGGCCUCCACGUUUAAGAUGGCAUUUGCAUUAUCAAAAUGAUCUGAGCUAUUAUGGAAAAUUAGCUGACACAAUUAGGUAGUUUUACGUAGACUAAUAAGAUGAAUAUCCUGGUCAACAAUUUUCUCCGAACACCUAAAGUAAGCAAAAGACAAAAUAGCAGGAUAGGUUUAAAUCAAGAAGAACCACUUGCACUAUAAUCAAUGGGCCAUAUACAACAAAAAAUCAUGUUGUUUGGAGUGCAUGCACGUUAAAUAUUCAAACUUGCCAUUAUUGUUCAAUGCUAUGUUUCUUCGAAUUUGACCAUUGUUACAUGAAGGCCAUGUACAACAUCCAACACAUUUGAUACUUUUUAUAUGCAAAUUGAGAAGUAAUUUCUAGUUGUUCAACACAUGUUUUAUGAUCUCAUUUCACAAAGUUUCCAUUUCUCUCUUGGAUACAGCCUUGAUUCUUCUUACAGGUGUUAGUCACACAAGAUCAAUCUUAUUUGAAGUUAAUAAAUUAUCUCAAAGUUGUUUAUGUGGCAUAUUGACUUGCAAUUUCUGACAGUUUUGUUAGUUAGAAUCAUGAUUAUUCUGUAGGACUUCACUGGGAUCUUGAAUAUUCAAAGAACUUCAAUAAUGUGGACAAGUCAAUCAUGCAAUCCUAUUCCUGCAAGUACAGAGGCUAUUUUUGUGACUUUAACUGUGGUCAUCCAACAAAUUUACUGUAGUGCCAAAACUUAUCCCCAAUACAUGAAUAAUUACGUUCCUCUAAAUUAAAAAAAAAGGAAUAUGACCAAUUUCUGAAUGUUAGAUUGUAUAGAAAUCUAAGUCAUAAACUUUGAGAUCAGCAUUGAUGUUUGAGAUGGGAUCAGGAUUAUGAGUCUAGCAUUGAACUUGCAUCAUGUAGAGCAGACAGCUAUGUUUGUCCAUUUCUUUUUCUCCCAGAGGGCAACCCUGCAUCUAACAUCACUGAUUGGCAUCAAUGUAAAGUCUAGCUUGUCCAUUUCUUUUUGUGCUCUUUGUAAGCAUGCUCAUGGACUCAUAUUUGCAAGGUAUAAUUGGCAUAUCCCAUAUUGGCAGGAGCCAUAUGUUCCAUCCUUUCUUUUCUAUUGGCAGAAAUUUUAACCUAGUGUUGCAUGUAUAAUUUGUUUGUUUUUGUUUUUUGGUUUAAAGUUCCAGAAAUGCAAGAUGUUACUGUUCUGCACUUCUAUGACAAUGUGGAGCAAGUUAAUUUUGUAAUUUUACUGGUCUCGGAAGGUGCUGUCUAAAUUACAUGUUGUUCAUACAGCUACUUGUGAACUGCUAAUAGUUUUUUUUCUUGCUGAAGUGAAUCAAGCAUGUUAUUCUCCAAUCCGUGGAAAAAUUCUUUGGACCCCAUAUUUAGUGUUCUCUUUGACUGCUUGCUGCUGUAGCUACAUGGAAUCAGAUUCUGUGAAAAUUGCUGUUGAAGGAGUUUGAAUUGUGUAAGAAUGAAAACUGUGAUUUGUUUAUCAUGGACACAAGCAAGCAUCACAGACAGGAAACUUCUCUUUUUAAAGAAAUGCAUCUAGUGUCAGAAGCAACGCUGUUGAUGUAGCACAAGCUUUCUUACAAACGUAGCAGUUGGAGCUUUGGUGAAGCAGAAGGAGCUGAUGUAUUUAGUGUGCAAGCCAUCUGUUGAUGAACUUGGUAUACUGUCAUGUUGAGGUCUUGUCUUGCUACCUGGUUUAAUGCCCAAGUGAUCCCUAAAGGCCAUGAAAAGGAAUGUCAACCAACAAUCAAGCUUUACACAACGACUACGAUGAUGAAUUCCAUGACAAAUGCAGAGCCUGAAUCUGAUGAAUGAAUGAAGCCUGUGCAUUAUGGAUUGCGAAAAUGCUUAGAAAAGGGAUUUGUAGCAAGAUGAUGCAGCUCAGGAUGCCAAAGAAAGGUGAAUUGAGCACAUUGUCCUGGAAUACGUGAAUGCACAGCUCAUGAGCAAGGUCCUGCCUCAGCCAAUAGAAGAUAAUCCCAAGUAUUGGCAUGUGAGUUGUCGCUCCUGCUGGGAUUAAUCCACGGUUUCUCUCAGACAAUCUUUGAUUAAUUUAUGAUGUCUUUGCCUUGUUGUGCCUCCUUGCAAUUAGUAUGAUUAUUAUGGAGGUUCAAUCUACCAGCCCGAGUGUCCAAAUAAAAAAUAUUAGAUAUUUGGGUUAGAUUUAAGAUGGCUUUAGAUACAUGAAUGGAUAAGGGAAACUUGCAACCAUUCAGGAGUGGCAAUAGAUUUCUUUUUUCGUACU